This 373-nucleotide long non-coding RNA is filed under the name Sorghum bicolor (sorghum). RNAcentral describes it as "long non-coding RNA (SBIC_LNC000168)". The record is from RNAcentral. Lineage: Eukaryota; Viridiplantae; Streptophyta; Magnoliopsida; Poales; Poaceae.
GCUUUGCUUACUUGUCGUCGGUUCUUUUAGCUGUGUAUAGAGUCCAGUUGGCUGGGGUUGUAUAGUGCCUGUCUAGGCGAUCCCUUCUUUUUAAUACAGCAGGCAGCUCUCCUGCCGGUUCGUUUCAAAAAAAAAAUGUUGCAAAAAUGUUUACGUGAUUAAUUCCUUAUGCAUAUACUCAGGGGUCGGGAACAACUGGUGGAGCAGCAAGCACUUCUUAAGCUGGACAAAUGUUAGAGGCCGGCCUGAUUACUGUCGCAUGUAAUGGACUCUCAGAGAUUGUUUGCAUUGACGUUUGUGCAUAUGUCAUUAUUUGGCUUGGUUAAACCAACUACAACAUCAUAUAUACAAAGGAUCAGAAGAGUAUAAGAUG